GAUGAACGCUGGCGGCGUGCCUAAUACAUGCAAGUCGAGCGAACGGAUGAGAAGCUUGCUUCUCUGAUGUUAGCGGCGGACGGGUGAGUAACACGUGGAUAACCUACCUAUAAGACUGGGAUAACUUCGGGAAACCGGAGCUAAUACCGGAUAAUAUUUUGAACCGCAUGGUUCAAAAGUGAAAGACGGUCUUGCUGUCACUUAUAGAUGGAUCCGCGCUGCAUUAGCUAGUUGGUAAGGUAACGGCUUACCAAGGCAACGAUGCAUAGCCGACCUGAGAGGGUGAGCGGCCACACUGGAACUGAGACACGGUCCAGACUCCUACGGGAGGCAGCAGUAGGGAAUCUUCCGCAAUGGGCGAAAGCCUGACGGAGCAACGCCGCGUGAGUGAUGAAGGUCUUCGGAUCGUAAAACUCUGUUAUUAGGGAAGAACAUAUGUGUAAGUAACUGUGCACAUCUUGACGGUACCUAAUCAGAAAGCCACGGCUAACUACGUG
RNAcentral lists this ribosomal RNA (497 nucleotides) under uncultured bacterium. RNAcentral describes it as "partial 16S ribosomal RNA". It matches the Rfam family "Bacterial small subunit ribosomal RNA", at positions 28 to 507 of the family's 1533-position model. The record is from RNAcentral.